This 1372-nucleotide ribosomal RNA is filed under the name uncultured bacterium. RNAcentral's name for it is "bacterial SSU rRNA". It matches the Rfam family "Bacterial small subunit ribosomal RNA", at positions 28 to 1381 of the family's 1533-position model. The record is from RNAcentral.
GAUGAACGCUGGCGGCGUGCCUAAUACAUGCAAGUCGAGCGAACGGACGAGAAGCUUGCUUCUCUGAUGUUAGCGGCGGACGGGUGAGUAACACGUGGAUAACCUACCUAUAAGACUGGGAUAACUUCGGGAAACCGGAGCUAAUACCGGAUAAUAUUUUGAACCGCAUGGUUCAAAAGUGAAAGACGGUCUUGCUGUCACUUAUAGAUGGAUCCGCGCUGCAUUAGCUAGUUGGUAAGGUAACGGCUUACCAAGGCAACGAUGCAUAGCCGACCUGAGAGGGUGAUCGGCCACACUGGAACUGAGACACGGUCCAGACUCCUACGGGAGGCAGCAGUAGGGAAUCUUCCGCAAUGGGCGAAAGCCUGACGGAGCAACGCCGCGUGAGUGAUGAAGGUCUUCGGAUUGUAAAACUCUGUUAUUAGGGAAGAACAUAUGUGUAAGUAACUGUGCACAUCUUGACGGUACCUAAUCAGAAAGCCACGGCUAACUACGUGCCAGCAGCCGCGGUAAUACGUAGGUGGCAAGCGUUAUCCGGAAUUAUUGGGCGUAAAGCGCGCGUAGGCGGUUUUUUAAGUCUGAUGUGAAAGCCCACGGCUCAACCGUGGAGGGUCAUUGGAAACUGGAAAACUUGAGUGCAGAAGAGGAAAGUGGAAUUCCAUGUGUAGCGGUGAAAUGCGCAGAGAUAUGGAGGAACACCAGUGGCGAAGGCGACUUUCUGGUCUGUAACUGACGCUGAUGUGCGAAAGCGUGGGGAUCAAACAGGAUUAGAUACCCUGGUAGUCCACGCCGUGAACGAUGAGUGCUAAGUGUUAGGGGGUUUCCGCCCCUUAGUGCUGCAGCUAACGUAUUAAGCACUCCGCCUGGGGAGUACGACCGCAAGGUUGAAACUCAAAGGAAUUGACGGGGACCCGCACAAGCGGUGGAGCAUGUGGUUUAAUUCGAAGCAACGCGAAGAACCUUACCAAAUCUUGACAUCCUUUGACAACUCUAGAGAUAGAGCUUUCCCCUUCGGGGGACAAAGUGACAGGUGGUGCAUGGUUGUCGUCAGCUCGUGUCGUGAGAUGUUGGGUUAAGUCCCGCAACGAGCGCAACCCUUAAGCUUAGUUGCCAUCAUUAAGUUGGGCACUCUAAGUUGACUGCCGGUGACAAACCGGAGGAGGGUGGGGAUGACGUCAAAUCAUCAUGCCCCUUAUGAUUUGGGCUACACACGUGCUACAAUGGACAAUACAAAGGGCAGCGAAACCGUGAGGUCAAGCAAAUCCCAUAAAGUUGUUCUCAGUUCGGAUCGUAGUCUGCAACUCGACUACAUGAAGCUGGAAUCGCUAGUAAUCGUAGAUCAGCAUGCUACGGUGAAUACGUUCCCGGGUCU